AUGAUCGACGUCCACGCCGCCGCGGGGACAAUGAGCGGCAAGCUGGUCGAGGCAAUAUGCGCCAUGAUCAACGAUGCCUGCCACGACGACGACGCAAAGGACUUGCAUGGCCAGAAAGGGAGAAGGCGGCGCGAGCGCGACGCCUGCAUCGGCAGCACCCGCUGCUACAAGCAGAUGCGCAGGCUCGGCAAGGGCUCCAGCGGCCGCGUCGUCAUGGCGCAGCACCGCGACACCGGCCAGACGGUCGCCCUCAAGACCAUCCACGCGCGCGGCGGCGCGAGGCGCCCCAACGUCGGCGAUCUGCUCAAGGAGGCCUGCGUCCUGGCGGCGUGCCGCGGGCACCCCAACCUCGUCGGCCUCCACGCCAUCGUGCGCGACCCAGGCACCAGGCAGUACUGCCUCGUCAUGGACUACGUCGGGCCCAGCCUGUUCCAUGCUCUGGACAGGCACGUGGAAGAGCACGGCCGCGCGUUCCCGGAGGCCGACGUGCGCCGGGUCAUGCGGCAGCUGCUCACGGGCGCCGCGGCGAUGCACGAGCGCGGCGUCAUUCACAGGGACAUGAAGACUGCAAACAUCCUCAUCGGAGAAGACGGCGGCGUCGUGAAAUUCUGCGACUACGGACUGGCGAUGCCCACGGCCAAGGCAGAGCCGCCGUACGGGCUGGCCGGGACGAUCCCCUACAUGGCGCCCGAGAUGCUGCUGGAGAAGCCGGAGUACGACGCGGCCGUCGACAUGUGGUCGCUCGGGUGCGUCAUGGCAGAGAUGCUCUCCAGCGAGGAGUUGUUCAGCGGCGAAAAGACGACGGGGCAGGUCGGCAAGAUAUUCGAUGUACUCGGUGCGCCGGGCAAGAAAACGUGGCAGCACUUCGAGUCCGCGCUCCGAGCUGACGAGGUGCGGCAAUGGCGGGCACGGCAGCGAGAGGUGCGGCGCCACGACCGGCUGCGAGAGCUGUUCCCCGAGGAGCUGCUGUCAUGGCACGGAUACCAUGUCUUGAAGGGCCUCCUUACCUGCAACCCCAGCAAGAGGCUGACAGCAGCCGCCGCGCUCCGGUGUCCCUGGUUCAAGGUCGACGGCCCUGGAACUGAUGAUGCUUCCGGUCACGGGAUCGGCGGCACGGCAUUAGCCAGGCACACUGCAUAG
Molecule: ribosomal RNA, 1140 nt
Filed under: Triticum aestivum (bread wheat)
Lineage: Eukaryota; Viridiplantae; Streptophyta; Magnoliopsida; Poales; Poaceae
Description: partial small subunit ribosomal RNA
Source: RNAcentral